UUUGAAAAUCUGAGAUGACAGUGUUGUUAACAAAAGUCUAAGCUUGAGAGCAAAUAUAUUUAUUUCAUUUCAUUUGCGAUUUUCAUGAAUAGUUAACGUUGCGUUAUGCUAAUGAGCUUGAGGCUAUAAAUAGAAUCCCGGAUCCGGGAUUGCGCGACGUAACAAGUUAACACCUUUUUUUGGUUGCUACAUGAUUCCAUAUUUGUCAUUUCAUUGUUUUGAUGUCUUCACUAUUAUUCUACUAGAUGGCUAGAAAUGCACACAUUUUGUGCUCUUGUAUGAAGCAAUCACUCCCCCAUUAUUGACUAGAAAUGAGCUAUAACUGGGCUAAUAACUCACCUACUAGUUUAGAAUAUGAAAAAAUGUGCACGUGGCUACAUGCAGCUCUCGCUUUCAUCUCAAAACAAGCGCAUCUACUCACUACCGCUCAUGCUGUAGCCUAAACACAGUCCAGUUUAACUUCAUGCGACGAGCAAUCCGGGAUCCUAGUUUUGCAUACUAUGUUCGUUUUGGUACGUAACAUUUAAAGUGAUUCGAUCACAAUUCCCACACUAGAGCGAAACGUAAAACUCUAGAAAGUUGAAGUUCAGUCUAGUGCUUCUCUGAGUGGGCUGAUACUUCUUCUGCACAGCAGUCGAGGGAAGCUGCUCGCCUGCGCUUGCAGCUUUGAGGGAACAUUGCUCCUGGGCCUGAGUGAGUAAUGCCAACCAGUCAGUGCCAUGCUGGCACGUGUCCCUUGUGAAUUAGCCAAUCAGAGAUCCUAAUUCACAGCUAUGUUCAACCGUGUGUUUAGUGUUGGCUUCUAUGACUGUAUGGUGACGGUCUGUGGUGACUGGAGCUGAAGUCGGGCUCCUUCAUGACCAGUAUCUAUGAUGAGUGGCCUGGAGCUGAUCUACACUGCCAUGCCCAUCAGGCAUUGGCAAACACCUCAGAAGGGACAGAAGAUGGGCAGAUAGAUGCUUUUUAAAUGGAGUCCUUUGACUGAAAGGUUGAUACUGAUGACUGUAUUGAGAGAGACCUUGCAAGACAAUUAAACAAGACACAUCUAU
Oncorhynchus masou masou (cherry salmon) is the source of this 1049-nucleotide long non-coding RNA. RefSeq lists it as uncharacterized. The record is from RefSeq and is a predicted model, not a curated record. The transcript is spliced from 2 exons. Lineage: Eukaryota; Metazoa; Chordata; Actinopteri; Salmoniformes; Salmonidae.